ACGGGGUGCAGCAGGCGCGAAACCUUUGCAAUGUGCGAAAGCACGACAAGGUUAAUCCGAGUGUCUCCCGCUAAGGGAGUCUUUUGUCGGUUCUAGAACCACUGGUGAAUAAGGGGUGGGCAAGUUCUGGUGUCAGCCGCCGCGGUAAAACCAGCACCUCGAGUGGUCAGGAGGUUUAUCGGGCCUAAAGCAUCCGUAGCCGGUUGCAUAAGUUUUCGGUUAAAUCUAUGCGCUCAACGUAUAGGCCGCCGAAAAUACUGUGCAGCUAGGGAGUGGGAGAGGUACACGGUACUCGGUAGGAAGGGGUAAAAUCCUUUGAUCUAUUGAUGACCACCUGUGGCGAAGGCGGUCUACCAGAACACGGUCGACGGUGAGGGAUGAAAGCUGGGGGAGCAAACCGGAUUAGAUACCCGGGUAGUCCCAGCUGUAAACGAUGCAGACUCGGUGAUGCAUUGGCUUGUGGCCAAUGCAGUGCCGCAGGGAAGCCGUUAAGUCUGCCGCCUGGGAAGUACGUACGCAAGUAUGAAACUUAAAGGAAUUGGCGGGUGAGCAC
This 553-nucleotide ribosomal RNA is filed under the name uncultured Nitrososphaerota archaeon. Its description in RNAcentral is "bacterial SSU rRNA". It matches the Rfam family "Archaeal small subunit ribosomal RNA", at positions 325 to 879 of the family's 1478-position model. Lineage: Archaea; Thermoproteati; Nitrososphaerota. The record is from RNAcentral.